AUUGAACGCUGGCGGCAUGCUUUACACAUGCAAGUCGAACGGUAACAGGCCGCAAGGUGCUGACGAGUGGCGAACGGGUGAGUAAUGCAUCGGAACGUGCCCAGUCGUGGGGGAUAACUACUCGAAAGAGUAGCUAAUACCGCAUACGAUCUAUGGAUGAAAGCGGGGGACCGUAAGGCCUCGCGCGAUUGGAGCGGCCGAUGUCAGAUUAGGUAGUUGGUGGGGUAAAGGCUCACCAAGCCAACGAUCUGUAGCUGGUCUGAGAGGACGACCAGCCACACUGGGACUGAGACACGGCCCAGACUCCUACGGGAGGCAGCAGUGGGGAAUUUUGGACAAUGGGCGCAAGCCUGAUCCAGCAAUGCCGCGUGCAGGAAGAAGGCCUUCGGGUUGUAAACUGCUUUUGUACGGAACGAAACGGCUCUGGUUAAUACCCGGGGAUAAUGACGGUACCGUAAGAAUAAGCACCGGCUAACUACGU
This 481-nucleotide ribosomal RNA is filed under the name uncultured bacterium. RNAcentral's name for it is "partial 16S ribosomal RNA". It matches the Rfam family "Bacterial small subunit ribosomal RNA", at positions 30 to 506 of the family's 1533-position model. The record is from RNAcentral.